RNAcentral lists this ribosomal RNA (435 nucleotides) under uncultured bacterium. RNAcentral's name for it is "partial 16S ribosomal RNA". It matches the Rfam family "Bacterial small subunit ribosomal RNA", at positions 29 to 507 of the family's 1533-position model. The record is from RNAcentral.
AACGAACGCUGGCGGCAGGCCUAACACAUGCAAGUCGAGCGGACAUCUUCGGAUUUUAGCGGCGGCCGGGUGAGUAACCCGUUGGAACGUGCCCUUUUCUUCGGAAUAGCCUCGGGAAACUGGGAGUAAUACCGGAUGUACCCUUCGGGGGAAAGAUUGUUCGGCAAAGGGUCGGCUCGCGUUGUAUUGGGUAGUUGGUGGGGUAAUGGCCUACCAAGCCGACGAUCCAUAGCUGGUUUGAGAGGAUGAUCAGCCAGGCUGGGGCUGAGACACGGCCCAGACUCCUACGGGAGGCAGCAGUGGGGAAUCUUAGACAAUGAGGGAAAACCUGAUCUAGCCAUGCCGCGUGAGCGAUGAAGGCCUUAGGGUUGUAAAGCUCUUUCACAGGGGAAGAUAAUGACGGUACCCGGAGAAGAAGCCCCGGCUAACUCCGUG